UUUUAUGGAGAGUUUGAUCCUGGCUCAGGAUGAACGCUGGCGGCGUGCCUAAUACAUGCAAGUCGAGCGAACAGACGAGGAGCUUGCUCCUCUGACGUUAGCGGCGGACGGGUGAGUAACACGUGGAUAACCUACCUAUAAGACUGGGAUAACUUCGGGAAACCGGAGCUAAUACCGGAUAAUAUAUUGAACCGCAUGGUUCAAUAGUGAAAGACGGUUUUGCUGUCACUUAUAGAUGGAUCCGCGCCGCAUUAGCUAGUUGGUAAGGUAACGGCUUACCAAGGCAACGAU
RNAcentral lists this ribosomal RNA (291 nucleotides) under Staphylococcus epidermidis IS-K. RNAcentral describes it as "partial 16S ribosomal RNA". It matches the Rfam family "Bacterial small subunit ribosomal RNA", at positions 1 to 280 of the family's 1533-position model. Lineage: Bacteria; Bacillati; Bacillota; Bacilli; Caryophanales; Staphylococcaceae. The record is from RNAcentral.